RNAcentral lists this small nucleolar RNA (84 nucleotides) under Leersia perrieri. Its description in RNAcentral is "snoRNA SNORD34". It matches the Rfam family "Small nucleolar RNA SNORD34". From Rfam's summary of the family: snoRNA U34 is found in intron 5 of the ribosomal protein L13a gene in humans. U34 is a member of the C/D class of snoRNA which contain C (UGAUGA) and D (CUGA) box motifs, and functions in directing site-specific 2'-O-methylation of 25S rRNAs. The record is from Rfam by way of RNAcentral. Lineage: Eukaryota; Viridiplantae; Streptophyta; Magnoliopsida; Poales; Poaceae.
UUCUGCCAAUGAUGAGUUGCAACGCAUAGCCUACAUUGUCUGACAAACAAUUUCAUGAUAAAGAGUGCCACAACUGAGGCUUAG